UAUGUGUUAAACCCUGUCAUCAACAAUCGCAUGCUGCUUCAAAAACAUGUCAGUGUGGUGUAUUUUCCACUUACAAUAGCUUGUUCCUCAAAGGGUUUAACACAUACAUUCCAUCAAUCAAGCUAAACUUGGAAAGGCACAGGGCAAUUCUAUGUUAGCAGGAUUUAGGAACAGAACCAUCUCCCCAUUCCACUAAUACAAAAGAGAAGGGGACAUAGAAGGGAAAGAAAUAAAAAUCCCCAGCAAAGCUUUAAAUCACAGUAUCUUUGCGUGUUGUA
This 278-nucleotide unclassified non-coding RNA is filed under the name Hevea brasiliensis (rubber tree). Lineage: Eukaryota; Viridiplantae; Streptophyta; Magnoliopsida; Malpighiales; Euphorbiaceae. The record is from RNAcentral.